Long non-coding RNA from Fukomys damarensis (Damara mole-rat), 1089 nucleotides. RefSeq lists it as uncharacterized. The record is from RefSeq and is a predicted model, not a curated record. NCBI's taxonomy places the organism in Eukaryota, Metazoa, Chordata, Mammalia, Rodentia, Bathyergidae. The transcript has 3 exons.
CCCACCCCUACUCCUCUCCCCUUGGCGGCCCACCCCUCCCAGAAGCCUCAGACGCGGGGCGGGCCUGCUGAGCCUUACUCCGCCCCCGACACAACACCUCGGCCCGUACAGCCAAUCAAAGAGGCUAAUUUUGCCCCUUCUCCCGAGGCAGCCAAUGUGGUGCGGCUCGGGAUACACCCCCUUCCCAGCUGAGAGCGCACAACACAGCGUCCACGUGAGUCAGCUUCUUAAAGGAGACCACGCAGCCUUGCUAAUGGCAGCAGCUGGGACUCAUCGUGCGUCAUCAGCGUCACCAGGUGGCAGAUGAGGCCUAGCUUUCUCUGUCCAAUGAGGCCCAGAGACGACAAAUGAAAAUAGGAUGUUUUCUAGACAAAGCAGAGGCUUGAACUUGAGACCUUGGGCUUAGUGAGGCAGGUGGCAGAACCACUGAGCGAAAUCCCCAGCCCUGCUACUAAAUUGUUAGCUGCUUUAAUUUUGAUACCUCUAUGAGGUUGAUCAAAGUGAAAUGGGGCAUCCGGUGGACACUGGUCCAACCUGACUGCUGUCCUUAUGAGGCUGCAGAUUGGGAAGGAAGCACAGAGAUACAACUGGGGACCGGGAUCCUACAUAAGGAACACACCACGCGGGAGCACCUGGGAAGAAGGCCAGGCAUUCUCAGGCCUGGGCAGAGGGGCUGUAGGCGUCGCCUUGCCUGCCCGAUCUGAAUUCCAACCCCCUGCGAGAAGACACUUUUCAGUGUAAGCCUCCCAGUGUGAGAUAUCUUGUUGUGGCAGCCUAAGCAAAUUACAAUAUAGAGGUUUGUUUCUGUACAGGGGAACUUCCCAUAUUAUGUAACGCCAACUGGUUAUUUGUCUUACAGGAAAAGUAAUGAUUUUGUUGCUUGUUUUCCUUAAUUUUCUGGAUAGAAUAAUUUCCUUAUUUAUAAAUGAUCAUAAUCUGGCUACUACUUUCCAAUCACUUUGGCUUUUAUUUCUUUUUAAAUCUUUGCCUAUAUCUUUGAAUAUGUACGGAUAUUUCUUUCCAGUAAAUUCCUAACCGGGAGUGGUGGUGCAGGCCUAUAUUCCCGGCCCCCUGGAGGCUGAGGCAGGG